GGGCAGAUACCCAAGUGGACAACGGGGGCUGACUGUAAAUCAGCUGGCUUCGCCUUCGGGAGUUCGAAUCUCUCUCUGCCCACCA
Molecule: transfer RNA, 85 nt
Filed under: Chloroflexota bacterium
Lineage: Bacteria; Bacillati; Chloroflexota
Description: tRNA-Tyr
Rfam family: tRNA
About the family: Transfer RNA (tRNA) molecules are approximately 80 nucleotides in length. Their secondary structure includes four short double-helical elements and three loops (D, anti-codon, and T loops).
Source: RNAcentral